UUGGAAGUAAAAGUCGUAACAAGGUUUCCGUAGGUGAACCUGCGGAAGGAUCAUUACCGAGUUUUCGAGCUCCGGCUCGACUCUCCCACCCUUUGUGAACGUACCUCUGUUGCUUUGGCGGCUCCGGCCGCCAAAGGACCUUCAAACUCCAGUCAGUAAACGCAGACGUCUGAUAAACAAGUUAAUAAACUAAAACUUUCAACAACGGAUCUCUUGGUUCUGGCAUCGAUGAAGAACGCAGCGAAAUGCGAUAAGUAAUGUGAAUUGCAGAAUUCAGUGAAUCAUCGAAUCUUUGAACGCACAUUGCGCCCCUUGGUAUUCCGGGGGGCAUGCCUGUUCGAGCGUCAUUACAACCCUCAAGCUCUGCUUGGAAUUGGGCACCGUCCUCACUGCGGACGCGCCUCAAAGACCUCGGCGGUGGCUGUUCAGCCCUCAAGCGUAGUAGAAUACACCUCGCUUUGGAGCGGUUGGCGUCGCCCGCCGGACGAACCUUCUGAACUUUUCUCAAGGUUGACCUCGGAUCAGGUAGGGAUACCCGCUGAACUUAAGCAUAUCAAUAAGCGGAGGA
Molecule: ribosomal RNA, 568 nt
Filed under: fungal sp. ARIZ B391
Lineage: Eukaryota; Fungi
Description: eukaryotic LSU rRNA
Rfam family: 5.8S ribosomal RNA (bases 194-347)
Source: RNAcentral